RNAcentral lists this ribosomal RNA (48 nucleotides) under Sporothrix sp. RNAcentral describes it as "partial 28S ribosomal RNA". Lineage: Eukaryota; Fungi; Ascomycota; Sordariomycetes; Ophiostomatales; Ophiostomataceae. The record is from RNAcentral.
UUGACCUCGGAUCAGGUAGGACUACCCGCUGAACUUAAGCAUAUCAUA